This is a non-coding RNA of Corvus brachyrhynchos (American crow), 46 nucleotides long. NCBI's taxonomy places the organism in Eukaryota, Metazoa, Chordata, Aves, Passeriformes, Corvidae. The record is from Rfam.
AUAUAGGCCCUUCUAAGGGCCAUUUUCUUUAACAAUAAUGUUGCUG